Molecule: ribosomal RNA, 1021 nt
Filed under: Ascomycota sp. NIOCC F30
Lineage: Eukaryota; Fungi; Ascomycota
Description: SSU rRNA
Rfam family: Eukaryotic small subunit ribosomal RNA
Source: RNAcentral
UUAUACAGCGAAACUGCGAAUGGCUCAUUAUAUAAGUUAUCGUUUAUUUGAUAGUACCUUACUACUUGGAUAACCGUGGUAAUUCUAGAGCUAAUACAUGCUAAAAAUCCCGACUUCGGAAGGGAUGUAUUUAUUAGAUUAAAAACCAAUGCCCUCUGGGCUCUUUGGUGAUUCAUGAUAACUUCUCGAAUCGCACGGCCUUGCGCCGGCGAUGGUUCAUUCAAAUUUCUUCCCUAUCAACUUUCGAUGUUUGGGUAUUGGCCAAACAUGGUUGCAACGGGUAACGGAGGGUUAGGGCUCGACCCCGGAGAAGGAGCCUGAGAAACGGCUACUACAUCCAAGGAAGGCAGCAGGCGCGCAAAUUACCCAAUCCCGACACGGGGAGGUAGUGACAAUAAAUACUGAUACAGGGCUCUUUUGGGUCUUGUAAUUGGAAUGAGUACAAUUUAAAUCCCUUAACGAGGAACAAUUGGAGGGCAAGUCUGGUGCCAGCAGCCGCGGUAAUUCCAGCUCCAAUAGCGUAUAUUAAAGUUGUUGUGGUUAAAAAGCUCGUAGUUGAACCUUGGGCCUGGCUGGCCGGUCCGCCUCACCGCGUGUACUGGUCCGGCCGGGCCUUUCCCUCUGUGGAACCUCAUGCCCUUCACUGGGUGUGACGGGGAAACAGGACUUUUACUUUGAAAAAAUUAGAGUGCUCCAGGCAGGCCUAUGCUCGAAUACAUUAGCAUGGAAUAAUGAAAUAGGACGUGUGGUUCUAUUUUGUUGGUUUCUAGGACCGCCGUAAUGAUUAAUAGGGACAGUCGGGGGCAUCAGUAUUCAAUUGUCAGAGGUGAAAUUCUUGGAUUUAUUGAAGACUAACUACUGCGAAAGCAUUUGCCAAGGAUGUUUUCAUUAAUCAGGAACGAAAGUUAGGGGAUCGAAGACGAUCAGAUACCGUCGUAGUCUUAACCAUAAACUAUGCCGACUAGGGAUCGGACGAUGUUAUUUUUUGACGCGUUCGGCACCUUACGAGAAAUCAAAGUGC